AUGUGCAAGAGAUAGAGAGGCAGCAAAAUUAGGGCACGAUCCAUUUUCCCCCUUCUUGAUUUCUUGUUGGAAAACCAUCAAAGGUGAAACUCAUUUAGCUAUUUCUACAGUCGAUCGAAGCUAGACAUGUCUGGCAGAAAAGAAACUGUUCUGGAUUUAGCAAAAUUCGUGGACAAAGGUGUUCAAGUCAAACUGACUGGUGGAAGACAAGGUUCGCCGUUGUUCGUUUAUUGAUAGAUUUUUCGGCAAUUUCAUAUCUAUUUCUUUUUUAUAGUUUGUGGGUUUCUCUUUACUUGGUCCGAUUUCGUGUUUAUCGCUUUAUAAUUUUGUUCGUUUAUAUUUUGUGAUCUAUUUUUGUGUUGCCCUCAUUUAGCUAAUGAUACUACGGAGAAAUGGGAAGUGGUGGAUAUGAUAUUUUUAUGUUGAAAAUUAUUGUAGUGCCGU
Erythranthe guttata (spotted monkey flower) is the source of this 444-nucleotide non-coding RNA. The record is from RefSeq and is a predicted model, not a curated record. NCBI's taxonomy places the organism in Eukaryota, Viridiplantae, Streptophyta, Magnoliopsida, Lamiales, Phrymaceae.